Molecule: transfer-messenger RNA, 203 nt
Filed under: Candidatus Poribacteria bacterium
Lineage: Bacteria; Candidatus Poribacteria
Description: partial transfer-messenger RNA
Rfam family: transfer-messenger RNA
About the family: Bacterial tmRNA, also known as 10Sa RNA or SsrA, is named for its dual tRNA and mRNA-like properties. Its role is to liberate the mRNA from a stalled ribosome.
Source: RNAcentral
CUGAACGCCGGGAACAGGGCAUCAUCAACCAGGGGAACCGCCGCCGCAAAGCUUUGAGCGGCGGAAGGGAUCAUGAAGCUACCGACCGGCAUGACCUGCACAUGGGGCGCGUCCGGCGGGAAAUACCAAUACCUGUGCUGCACCCGGAGAAAUUCAAGAAACGGAACUUUCGGACAGGGGUUCGACUCCCCUCGCCUCCACCA